Molecule: ribosomal RNA, 819 nt
Filed under: uncultured eukaryote
Lineage: Eukaryota
Description: SSU rRNA
Rfam family: Eukaryotic small subunit ribosomal RNA
Source: RNAcentral
CGGUGUUUAACUGGCGUGAUGUGGGACGUCCUACCGGUGGGCUUAGCCUCGCGAGGGGCGGCCCAACUAAUAUCCCGUCGCGGUGCUCUUUACUGAGUGUCGAGUCGGGCCGGUACGUUUACUUUGAACAAAUUAGAGUGCUUAAAGCAGGCUAUCCUCGCCUGAAUACUGCGUGCUUGGAAUAAUGGAAUAGGACCUCGGUUCUAUUUUGUUGGUUUUCGGAACCCCGAGGUAAUGAUUAAUAGGGACAGAUGGGGGCAUUCGUAUUGCGACGUUAGAGGUGAAAUUCUUGGAUCGUCGCAAGACGGACAGAAGCGAAAGCAUUUGCCAAAAAUGUUUUCAUUAAUCAAGAACGAAAGUUAGAGGUUCGAAGGCGAUCAGAUACCGCCCUAGUUCUAACCAUAAACGAUGCCAGCUAGCGAUCCGCCGAAGUUCCUCCGAUGACUCGGCGGGCAGCUUCCGGGAAACCAAAGCUUUUGGGUUCCGGGGGAAGUAUGGUUGCAAAGCUGAAACUUAAAGGAAUUGACGGAAGGGCACCACCAGGAGUGGAGCCUGCGGCUUAAUUUGACUCAACACGGGAAACCUCACCAGGCCCAGACACCGGAAGGAUUGACAGAUUGAUAGCUCUUUCUUGAUUCGGUGGGUGGUGGUGCAUGGCCGUUCUUAGUUGGUGGAGCGAUUUGUCUGGUUAAUUCCGAUAACGAACGAGACUCUAGCCUGCUAAAUAGGCGUACCUUAUGGUAUCGCGAAGGCCCCCGGCUUCGGCCGGUGGGUUUUUACUACCAACGUACAAACAAAUCUUCUUAGAGGGACAGGCGG